Non-coding RNA from Pelobates cultripes (western spadefoot toad), 100 nucleotides. The record is from the annotation of a GenBank genome assembly. Lineage: Eukaryota; Metazoa; Chordata; Amphibia; Anura; Pelobatidae.
AAAUUACCCUAACUGUACCCAGCAACAUCUCCUGAGUGCAAUAUAUAUAUAUAUUGUGCUCAGGAGAUGUUGCUGGGUACAGUAAGGGUAAUUUUGUUAC